GAUGAACGCUGGCGGCGUGCCUAAUACAUGCAAGUCGAGCGAACAGACGAGGAGCUUGCUCCUCUGACGUUAGCGGCGGACGGGUGAGUAACACGUGGAUAACCUACCUAUAAGACUGGGAUAACUUCGGGAAACCGGAGCUAAUACCGGAUAAUAUAUUGAACCGCAUGGUUCAAUAGUGAAAGACGGUUUUGCUGUCACUUAUAGAUGGAUCCGCGCCGCAUUAUCUAGUUGGUAAGGUAACGGCUUACCAAGGCAACGAUGCGUAGCCGACCUGAGAGGGUGAUCGGCCACACUGGAACUGAGACACGGUCCAGACUCCUACGGGAGGCAGCAGUAGGGAAUAUUCCGCAAUGGGCGAAAGCUUGACGGAGCAACGCCGCGUGAGUGAUGAAGGUCUUCGGAUCGUAAAACUCUGUUAUUAGGGAAGAAAAAAUGUGUAAGUAACUAUGCACGUCUUGACGGUACCUAAUCAGAAAGCCACGGCUAACUACGUG
Molecule: ribosomal RNA, 497 nt
Filed under: uncultured bacterium
Lineage: Bacteria
Description: partial 16S ribosomal RNA
Rfam family: Bacterial small subunit ribosomal RNA
Source: RNAcentral